UGUUUAGUGUAAGUAUGUCCCAUUCACUAUUUGAGAUAUACUUAUACUAAAA
This 52-nucleotide microRNA precursor is filed under the name Ailuropoda melanoleuca (giant panda). Its description in RNAcentral is "mir-1302 microRNA precursor family". It matches the Rfam family "mir-1302 microRNA precursor family". Lineage: Eukaryota; Metazoa; Chordata; Mammalia; Carnivora; Ursidae. The record is from Rfam by way of RNAcentral.